CUCUUGAUGACGAGUGGCGCACGGGUGCGUAACGCGUAUGCAACCUACCCUUUACAGGGGGAUAGCCCGGAGAAAUUCGGAUUAAUACCCCAUGGUACCUUAAAGUAGCAUUGCUUAAAGGUUAAAGAUUUAUUGGUAAAGGAUGGGCAUGCGUGACAUUAGCUAGUUGGUGAGGUAACGGCUCACCAAGGCAACGAUGUCUAGGGGUUCUGAGAGGAAGAUCCCCCACACUGGUACUGAGACACGGACCAGACUCCUACGGGAGGCAGCAGUAGGGAAUAUUGGUCAAUGGACGAGAGUCUGAACCAGCCAUGCCGCGUGCAGGAAGACGGCCUUCUGGGUUGUAAACUGCUUUUAUAUAGGAACAAAGAGGCCAUGCGUGGCAAGUUGAGUGUACUAUAUGAAUAAGCACCGGCUAACUCCGUGCCAGCAGCCGCGGUAAUACGGAGGGUGCAAGCGUUGUCCGGAUUUAUUGGGUUUAAAGGGUGCGUAGGUGGCGUGUUAAGUCAGUGGUGAAAGCCUGCAGCUCAACUGUAGAGGUGCCAUUGAUACUGACAUGCUUGAGUAUGGACGAGGUAGGCGGAAUUUGUGGUGUAGCGGUGAAAUGCAUAGAUACCACAAGGAACACCGAUAGCGAAGGCAGCUUACUGGACCAUAACUGACACUGAGGCACGAAAGCGUGGGGAGCGAACAGGAUUAGAUACCCUGGUAGUCCACGCCGUAAACGAUGCUCACUCGAUGUAUGCGAUAUACUGUAUGCGUCCAAGCGAAAGCGUUAAGUGAGCCACCUGGGGAGUA
Molecule: ribosomal RNA, 798 nt
Filed under: Fulvivirga kasyanovii
Lineage: Bacteria; Pseudomonadati; Bacteroidota; Cytophagia; Cytophagales; Fulvivirgaceae
Description: bacterial SSU rRNA
Rfam family: Bacterial small subunit ribosomal RNA
Source: RNAcentral